Molecule: ribosomal RNA, 469 nt
Filed under: uncultured bacterium
Lineage: Bacteria
Description: bacterial SSU rRNA
Rfam family: Bacterial small subunit ribosomal RNA
Source: RNAcentral
UAGAGUUUGAUCCUGGCUCAGAACGAACGCUGGCGGCAGGCUUAACACAUGCAAGUCGAGCGCCCCGCAAGGGGAGCGGCAGACGGGUGAGUAACGCGUGGGAAUCUACCUAGCUCUACAGAAUAGCUCCGGGAAACUGGAAUUAAUACCGUAUACGUCCUUCGGGAGAAAGAUUUAUCGGAGUUAGAUGAGCCCGCGUUGGAUUAGCUAGUUGGUGGAGUAAUGGCCUACCAAGGCGACGAUCCAUAGCUGGUCUGAGAGGAUGAUCAGCCACACUGGGACUGAGACACGGCCCAGACUCCUACGGGAGGCAGCAGUGGGGAAUAUUGGACAAUGGGCGAAAGCCUGAUCCAGCCAUGCCGCGUGAGUGAUGAAGGCCCUAGGGUUGUAAAGCUCUUUCAACGGUGAAGAUAAUGACGGUAACCGUAGAAGAAGCCCCGGCUAACUUCGUGCCAGCAGCCCCGGUCAA